GAAGGGCAGCGACGUGCCGGCAAGGCCGACAUAGUUGGCCAGGGUCGGGGCCGCAGGCCACAAUGUCGGCUCGAGGCGCGUCGCCUCGAGCUCCGUCUUCAGGGAGGUCGAAAGCAUCCAGUAGAGCGGUGCCAGGCUCCAGAAGAGCGCGAAACCGAUCGCGAUCCAGCGAAGGAUUGCGCUCAGGCUCCA
RNAcentral lists this unclassified non-coding RNA (192 nucleotides) under plant metagenome. Its description in RNAcentral is "partial contains 5.8S ribosomal RNA, internal transcribed spacer 2, and large subunit ribosomal RNA". The record is from RNAcentral.